Molecule: ribosomal RNA, 1373 nt
Filed under: uncultured bacterium
Lineage: Bacteria
Description: bacterial SSU rRNA
Rfam family: Bacterial small subunit ribosomal RNA
Source: RNAcentral
GAUGAACGCUGGCGGCGUGCCUAAUACAUGCAAGUCGAGCGAACGGACGAGAAGCUUGCUUCUCUGAUGUUAGCGGCGGACGGGUGAGUAACACGUGGAUAACCUACCUAUAAGACUGGGAUAACUUCGGGAAACCGGAGCUAAUACCGGAUAAUAUUUUGAACCGCAUGGUUCAAAAGUGAAAGACGGUCUUGCUGUCACUUAUAGAUGGAUCCGCGCUGCAUUAGCUAGUUGGUAAGGUAACGGCUUACCAAGGCAACGAUGCAUAGCCGACCUGAGAGGGUGAUCGGCCACACUGGAACUGAGACACGGUCCAGACUCCUACGGGAGGCAGCAGUAGGGAAUCUUCCGCAAUGGGCGAAAGCCUGACGGAGCAACGCCGCGUGAGUGAUGAAGGUCUUCGGAUCGUAAAACUCUGUUAUUAGGGAAGAACAUAUGUGUAAGUAACUGUGCACAUCUUGACGGUACCUAAUCAGAAAGCCACGGCUAACUACGUGCCAGCAGCCGCGGUAAUACGUAGGUGGCAAGCGUUAUCCGGAAUUAUUGGGCGUAAAGCGCGCGUAGGCGGUUUUUUAAGUCUGAUGUGAAAGCCCACGGCUCAACCGUGGAGGGUCAUUGGAAACUGGAAAACUUGAGUGCAGAAGAGGAAAGUGGAAUUCCAUGUGUAGCGGUGAAAUGCGCAGAGAUAUGGAGGAACACCAGUGGCGAAGGCGACUUUCUGGUCUGUAACUGACGCUGAUGUGCGAAAGCGUGGGGAUCAAACAGGAUUAGAUACCCUGGUAGUCCACGCCGUAAACGAUGAGUGCUAAGUGUUAGGGGGUUUCCGCCCCUUAGUGCUGCAGCUAACGCAUUAAGCACUCCGCCUGGGGAGUACGACCGCAAGGUUGAAACUCAAAGGAAUUGACGGGGACCCGCACAAGCGGUGGAGCAUGUGGUUUAAUUCGAAGCAACGCGAAGAACCUUACCAAAUCUUGACAUCCUUUGACAACUCUAGAGAUAGAGCCUUCCCCUUCGGGGGGGCAAAGUGACAGGUGGUGCAUGGUUGUCGUCAGCUCGUGUCGUGAGAUGUUGGGUUAAGUCCCGCAACGAGCGCAACCCUUAAGCUUAGUUGCCAUCAUUAAGUUGGGCACUCUAAGUUGACUGCCGGUGACAAACCGGAGGAAGGUGGGGAUGACGUCAAAUCAUCAUGCCCCUUAUGAUUUGGGCUACACACGUGCUACAAUGGACAAUACAAAGGGCAGCGAAACCGCGAGGUCAAGCAAAUCCCAUAAAGUUGUUCUCAGUUCGGAUUGUAGUCUGCAACUCGACUACAUGAAGCUGGAAUCGCUAGUAAUCGUAGAUCAGCAUGCUACGGUGAAUACGUUCCCGGGUCU